AAGUAAAUAAGGGCGUAUGGCGGAUGCCUUGGCUCUCAGAGGCGAUGAAGGACGUGAUAAGCUGCGAUAAGCUGCGGGGAUUAGCACAUAUGAAUUGAUCCGCAGAUUUCCGAAUGGGACAACCCAAUAUAUUGAAGAUAUAUUAUUCGAAAGAAGGCUAACCCGGAGAACUGAAACAUCUAAGUACCCGGAGGAAGAGAAAACAAUAGUGAUUCCGCAAGUAGUGGCGAG
RNAcentral lists this ribosomal RNA (231 nucleotides) under Alexandrium margalefii. RNAcentral describes it as "partial Bacterial large subunit ribosomal RNA". It matches the Rfam family "Bacterial large subunit ribosomal RNA", at positions 1 to 253 of the family's 2925-position model. The record is from RNAcentral. Lineage: Eukaryota; Dinophyceae; Gonyaulacales; Pyrocystaceae.